RNA transcript from Mercenaria mercenaria, 2895 nucleotides. RefSeq lists it as uncharacterized. The transcript is spliced from 6 exons. NCBI's taxonomy places the organism in Eukaryota, Metazoa, Mollusca, Bivalvia, Venerida, Veneridae. The record is from RefSeq and is a predicted model, not a curated record.
GGUAAAGGACACCUGCACAAUUAGAUAAGAUUGUACUCACAGUGUCGUUGUUUUUAUGGACAGAGGAAGAUGAAAUAUCUGGCACGAAUAUUGGUUCUGGCUAUUUGCCUUGAGAUUUGUAAAACGCAAUGCUAAGUUCAAUCAAGCGCAGGGAAGAAGUUCCUCAUAGCGAUUGCAGAAUUAUACCACAUUGAUUACGUUGACAAGAUUUUUGUGAACAUAGGCGCCUCAGCUGAUGGUACAGCACCAUUUACGUCCCCGUAUCUCAAGAUUAGCCAAUCACAUGCUCUCACGAAAGGUGUAACAACCGUCACCUUUAAUAACAGUAUCAUAUCACAGGCCUUAGGCAAAGGCAACAAAGGGAUCGAGCUAACUUCAGAUGUAGAUAUCACUGUUCAUGUGUUUUUCAAUGGAGGUUACGGCCAGACAGACGGAUAUUUAGCUUUACCGACACAAAACCCUAUGCCAAUGCAAUUUAUGUUUUCGAGUGUUUCUGCAUACACACAAGGUCUUAUUGCAAGUAGCAUGGAUGAUGUCAGGAUAGACAUACAUUCUAACAACAAUAUAUUCAGUGUUGAUUUGGAUAAGUAUCAAACGUACCAAUUCAGACUAAACAACUCUGGCUUUGACCAACUAGUGUACUCAAACGGAAGUGUAACGGCUCUGUAUGAAGAAAACUUACUUUAUAUUAAUUCAACUAAUGACUCGGAUCUUGCCUUCGAACAACUACAACCCAUAAAGUCAUGGGGAACUACGUUUAUUAUUCCUUCGCUCAUUGGCAAAAGUAACAAUGUUUUCCGCAUCACAACAGGCAAUUACUCUGUUCGCAUUCUUAUUAACAAUGGCACACACCAUCAACGCAGCGAAUAUAUACUCCCUUUUAACUUUAAGGACAUUUAUUUCAAGACUUCAAGCAUGUUCUUACAGUCAGACAAACCAGUCCAAGUUGUCCAGUUUUGUACAAGUUAUGUAAACGGUAAUACUGGCGAUCCAUUUAUAACUGUGGUACCACCUCUGACCAGUUUUCUAACGGGGUAUAUAUUCAAGCCAAUGGACGGUUUGAACACAUUUAAUCACUAUGUGACACUAACGGUUGAAUCGAAAUAUGCUUCUGGCCUUUUACUUAAUGAUAAAUCAUUAUCUAUACAAAGAGCAGAGCCAUUGUCAACUCAAGCUGGAUCGUAUAAAAUACUUACGCUUGUGGUGAGCACAACGACCAAUAUACUCUGUCACGUUGGAGGACACGAGUUCGGUGCAUUACUGUAUGGAUACUACAGUGCUACAGCGUACGGAUAUCCUCUUGGAAUGAAACUUUCGGCAGACUAUCGGGUGGAAGACACAGAAGAUCUUCUAAAAACAGAAGACGCACAAUCGAACAUCUCGGAAGAGAUCUUCUUAUUCCGGCAGAUCUACCGUGGCCCAAACGAACGGGGCAAACGUGAUUCAAUGCAUAUCAUAUCUUUGAAUACUGCGAACAAAGAAUAAUAACUGCCAGACUGCCACAGUUACACAUUUGGCAAGCACCCCGACAACAAGCACACAGACCAGUGAAGUGGUCAGAAAGGGUAUUUCAACAUACAUGUAAUAUUUGCACGUUUUUAUUUAUUUUGAACAUACGCGAAAUGUUAUCUCUAUCUCACGAAAAAUUGUGUAAUAAUGGAAAUAAAUGCACUAAUGCUAUAUGAUGAAAAACCAAAAUGGCCUCAGAAUGGACUAUGUUUAGGAAUGUCCGCUAAACGUUGAUGUGAACACUUUCAUACAAUAUUUUAAGCAACGGUUGAUAGAUAUACUUUUGUACAAGACUCAGUUUAAUGUUUAUCUUCUCAAUAUUGCAAAACAAUGGAUGGUAGACCUUAACUGUUAUUUGUUAUUUUCUUGAACAUACAUAUUGUUUGCUAUUUUGUAUCUACUUUAAAAAUACAUAUUUUUAUCAUUAUCUAUUUUGAACAUGCUUUGAGUGUUAUUUGUGCAUAUAGUAUAUAUUUCAUAUCACGUGUGUCAAUUAUGAAACCUCUGUUUUAUGUGUCUGUCUUGUGCUAAUUGUGGAAGGCGUAUAAUGAUAGUUCCACUAUGGAAAAUGUACUUAGGGACUUCUCCAUCAUCAACAAAAGUUAAAUAGGCAUCUUGUUUGUCUCUGUUUUGAACUGGACAUAUUGUUACCCUGUACUUCUUCUACAAGUCAUUAUAUAUUACCAUGCUGUUAUUAUUUCAAAGAAGUAAAAUAUCAACAGAAAUUAGAUAAAUAUGAUUUUUCUUUGAAUUGUGAGCUAAAUGACAGAUUUUUUUUUUAAUGUAGUGUGUAGCGUAGUUGUCACAUUAUAAAAUAUAUCUCUUAUAAUUCUAAAUUUAAUUACCAUAUACAUUUUGCAUGUUGUUUUUAACAGUACAUUAAACAUAAAUUGUCUUCUUUUAAUGUAUAUGUUAUCAUGGACUAACAUGCGUUGGUUUAUCAUUUAGAAUAAACAUAUUGUGUUAUUUGUACCUUUUUGCGAACAUGCAGUGUGUGUUUUUGUGCCUUUCAUUGACAUACAUUAUGUGAUGUUUGUGCCUUUGAUAUAUUGUGUACCACUUGUGUUGAACAUACAUUCUAAUGAACAUUUACCAUGUGUUGUUUAUACUUUUUAACUAUAUGCAUGUUUCAGUAUUUAAGAUAUCUCGUAACGGCCAGGUUAAAGAUUGUCUGUAUGUUUUUUUGAUAAGUCUGAUAAACUUGGAAUGUUCGUUGACUACUGUGAGUUAUCUUUUCAGGUCCAGUAUGCAUGUCUUGUUCAGAUAUGGUGCAUGUAGAACUAUGUGACCAUGUAGAACACUGCAGCUACGGAGAGGUUUGUUUCCUGGAGAAAUACAUCCAGAUGGAAAAUGAAAUACGUUUUAAAAGUGGCUGUAAACUGGCGC